GGAUUAGAUACCCUGGUAGUCCACGCCGUAAACGAUGAUAACUGGUUGUGUGCGAUACACAGUGCGCGACUGAGCGAAAGCAUUAAGUUAUCCACCUGGGGAGUACGUUGGCAACAAUGAAACUCAAAGGAAUUGACGGGGGCCCGCACAAGCGGAGGAACAUGUGGUUUAAUUCGAUGAUACGCGAGGAACCUUACCUGGGCUUAAAUGUAGAGUGCAUGAUUUGGAAACAGAUCUUUCCUUCGGGACCCUUUACAAGGUGCUGCAUGGCUGUCGUCAGCUCGUGCCG
RNAcentral lists this ribosomal RNA (289 nucleotides) under uncultured bacterium. RNAcentral describes it as "partial 16S ribosomal RNA". It matches the Rfam family "Bacterial small subunit ribosomal RNA", at positions 775 to 1067 of the family's 1533-position model. The record is from RNAcentral.